GGGCGCUUCGCUGAUGGUGUCGGUGAGCGCGUUUCCCGCCUGAGCGCAACUAGCGGCGGGUCGCGGGCACCUCCAGGCUCAAAAGGAAAGAAAACAUCUCCCAGGACCAGAUGUGGAGUAGACGGGAAUUGGAGAGAAGCUGAAGCCCAGGCCCAGCACCAGGCUGGGGGCCCAGGUGCUACGGGGGUCCCAGCCAUUAACAGAGCUUCAUGCAGGAGAGCUUGUUUCAUAUCCGUAUCCCACUUUAUUCCUGCUAAUCUGCUAAUGCAGUAAAUUGGGGGAAAACUGUUACCAGGAUAACCUGUAAUGGGCAAGGAGCCACAAAGAAGAAAACAUUUCAUUUAAUUUUUAAACUUGGUUUGAAAGACCAGCAUGUUUUGGAAAUUUGAUCUUCACUCAUCAUCCCACAUAGACACACUUCUAGAAAGAGAAGAUGUAACACUGAAGGAGUUAAUGGAUGAGGAAGAUGUUUUACAGGAAUGUAAAGCUCAGAACCGCAAACUUAUAGAGUUUCUGUUAAAAGCAGAAUGUCUCGAAGAUUUAGUCUCAUUCAUUAUAGAAGAACCACCUCAAGACAUGGAUGAAAAGAUCAGAUACAAGUAUCCAAAUAUAUCUUGUGAGUUGCUCACUUCCGAUGUCUCCCAGAUGAAUGAUAGACUGGGAGAAGAUGAAUCCUUGCUAAUGAAAUUAUAUAGCUUCCUCCUAAACGAUUCCCCUUUGAAUCCACUACUUGCCAGUUUCUUCAGCAAGGUGCUAAGUAUUCUUAUCAGCAGAAAACCAGAACAGAUUGUGGAUUUCUUAAAGAAGAAGCAUGAUUUUGUAGACCUUAUUAUAAAGCACAUAGGAACUUCUGCUAUCAUGGAUUUGUUGCUCAGGCUCCUGACGUGUAUUGAACCUCCACAGCCCAGGCAAGAUGUACUGAAUUGGUUAAAUGAGGAGAAAAUUAUCCAGAGGCUUGUGGAAAUAGUUCAUCCAUCGCAAGAAGAAGAUCGACAUUCAAAUGCAUCACAAUCACUUUGUGAAAUUGUUCGCCUGAGCAGAGACCAGAUGUUACAAAUUCAGAACAGUACAGAGCCCGACCCCCUGCUUGCCACUCUAGAAAAGCAAGAAAUUAUAGAGCAGCUUCUAUCAAAUAUUUUCCACAAGGAGAAAAAUGAACCAGCCAUAGUCAGUGCAAUCCAGAUAUUGCUGACUUUACUUGAGACACGACGACCAACAUUUGAAGGCCAUAUAGAGAUCUGCCCACCAGGCAUGAGCCAUUCAGCUUGUUCAGUAAACAAGAGUGUUCUAGAAGCCAUCAGAGGAAGACUUGGAUCUUUUCAUGAACUCUUGCUGGAGCCACCCAAGAAAAGUGUGAUGAAGACCACAUGGGGUGUGCUGGAUCCUCCUGUGGGGAAUACCCGGUUGAAUGUCAUUAGGUUGAUAUCCAGCCUGCUUCAAACCAAUACCACCAGUAUAAAUGGGGACCUUAUGGAGCUGAAUAGCAUUGGAGUCAUAUUGAACAUGUUCUUCAAGUAUACAUGGAAUAACUUUUUGCAUACACAAGUGGAAAUUUGUAUUGCACUGAUUCUUGCAAGUCCUUUUGAAAGCACAGAAAAUGCCACAAUUACUGAUCAAGACUCCACUGGUGAUAAUUUGUUAUUAAAACACCUUUUCCAAAAAUGUCAAUUAAUAGAACGAAUACUUGAAGCCUGGGAAAUGAAUGAGAAGAAACAGGCUGAGGGAGGAAGACGGUAUGGUUACAUGGGACACCUAACGAGGAUAGCUAACUGUAUCGUGCACAGCACUGACAAGGGCCCCAACAGUGCAUUAGUGCAGCAGCUUAUCAAAGAUCUUCCCGACGAAGUCAGGGAACGAUGGGAGACGUUCUGCACAAGCUCCUUAGGAGAAACUAACAAGAGGAACACGGUAGAUCUAGUUACAACCUGCCAUAUUCAUUCAUCCAGUGAUGAUGAAAUUGACUUUAAAGAAACGGGUUUCUCACAGGAUUCUUCUUUGCAGCAAGCCUUUUCUGAUUAUCAGAUGCAACAAAUGACGUCCAAUUUUAUUGACCAGUUCGGCUUCAACGAUGAGAAGUUUGCAGAUCAAGAUGACAUUGGCAAUGUUUCUUUUGAUCGAGUAUCAGACAUCAACUUUACUCUCAAUACAAAUGAAAGUGGAAAUAUUGCCUUGUUUGAAGCAUGUUGUAAGGAAAGAAUACAACAGUUUGAUGAUGGUGGCUCUGACGAGGAAGAUAUAUGGGAGGAAAAGCACAUCGCAUUCACACCAGAAUCCCAAAGACGAUCCAGCUCGGGGAGUACAGACAGUGAGGAAAGUACAGACUCUGAAGAAGAAGAUGGAGCAAAGCAAGACUUGUUUGAACCCAGCAGUGCCAACACGGAGGAUAAAAUGGAGGUGGACCUGAGUGAACCACCCAACUGGUCAGCUAACUUUGAUGUCCCAAUGGAAACAACCCACGGUGCUCCGUUGGACUCUGUGGGAUCUGACGUCUGGAGCACAGAGGAGCCGAUGCCAGCUAAAGAGACGGGCUGGGCUUCUUUUUCAGAGUUCACGUCUUCCCUGAGCACAAAAGAUUCUUUAAGGAGUAAUUCUCCAGUGGAAAUGGAAACCAGCACUGAACCCAUGGACCCUCUGACUCCCAGUGCGGCUGCCCUGGCAGUGCAGCCAGAAGUGCCAGGCAGUGUGGCCAUGGAAGCCAGCUCUGACGGAGAGGAGGAUGCAGAAAGUACAGACAAGGUAACUGAGACAGUGAUGAAUGGCGGCAUGAAGGAAACGCUCAGCCUCACUGUAGAUGCCAAGACAGAGACUGCGGUCUUCAAAAGGUUCUUUGACACCUUCACCGAGUCUGCAGUUUUGCUUACGUGCAGUCGUGGACAUACUAUUCCCCCAAAUUCCUCAUUUCUAGGAGUAUUCUGAAACUCUUGUACAUUUCUUUUUCUGUUUUGCACACUGGGCUUCAGAGUGUUGAAAUCCUAUCGUGAGGAAGGGAAACUGUCUACCUCUCAAGAUGCUGCUUGUAAAGACGCGGAGGAGAGCCCCGAGACUGCAGAGGUGAAGUGCGCCGCGCCCCGGCCUCCCAGCAGCAGUCCCGAGCAGAGGACUGGCCAGCCAAGCGCACCAGGUGACACUUCAGUGAAUGGCCCUGUAUGACGGGUGACGUCUGCUGCUGCUGACUGAGGACUGCAGACCGCCACCACUCAGGGGCUCUGGAGGGGUCAGCUGGAGCCCACCAAGCUGUCACUGCUGCACUCACUCUGCAAGGGAUCAGGACCAGCAACCUUUAUAUUCUAGAUUCUAAGACAUUGUACAGAGAAAUUCAGAAGUGUAAAAAUAUUGCACAUUGACAAAUACCAAGAAUUUUUGCGUAUGUUUAUAUUGUAUUGUUCUAAAUAAUGGGUAGCCUGUGAAAUAAGAUCUUGCCACCCAUGUAAUAAUAGUAGUAAUACUAUAGUUAAAAUGGCUGUAAGAAUAGUUUUAUAAAAGUGAAUACACAGAUCUAUUGUAUUUGAAACAUAACUAUUUGACAAUUAUUAGUGUGACCAAAGUAUUAGGCGGUUUUCAUACAUUUUUCACCUUGUACAAAAUUAUGAAUUCAUUUUUCUUCCAGGCUGACAAGGAGUUAUAGAAUGAAAAUGCCCUCUAAGUGUUAUUUUGGUUGUUCUAACUUACAAAAGUGAUUUUGAAUAAGAAAUAUUUGGUGUUCUUUUUAUAACCAGUUUUUGAUUGGUAAUUGUUUUCUGUAUUGUUUAAAACGGAUCAAAAAUGUAAGUCUAUUGGUAGAGAUUAAGUAUUUAUUGCUACAUCAUAGUUGAUAAAUUGAUGUUAUUGUAAAGCCAUAUGUUCUGUUCAAGUCUUGUUUGCUUGAAAUGAUUAUUCCUACAAGUGAAACACUAGACUAUUUGGAGUGUAUAUGGCUUGUGUUUUGGGUUUUUUUGGCUUUUGUUUUUGUUUCGUUUGGUAGUUCAUCUGCCUUUUAACCCAUUCACCAAAAUUUACCUUGUUAACAAGCGUCACCAAUGAACAUUUCAGAGCAAUCUGCAUAUUUAACAGACCUAAAUCCUAUUAGGCAAGUCAGUUGAAAAUGCUCGUGCUGCUAAUGGAAUUAGAGUACGUUCAUUUUACAGGCUAGUAUUUUAAAAGUAGAAAUCAAAAUCUGGCACCGAAGCAUGCUAAUUGUUUACUGUACCUUGUGAGGUUUUCACUCAUAAAUUUAAACCAGUGUAUUUUUUUAGAACUGGUUUAUGUAUAUAUAUAGUGAUUAUGGAUACUAAUUCAAUGUAAUUUAUAAUUUUCUAUGUCAGUACAAAAAUACAUCACAGCCUUCUCAAACAGCUGAAGCAAUAUAUUGUAUAUUGCCAUAUCGUCUGGUGAAAGGGUUAAAUUACUUCACCUCUUGCACUUUUAGAUGCAAAUCAGUUUUUCAUUUCUGUAAUAGAAAAUUAUUCACGUAUUUUUACAUCAUUUGUUUUUCCUGACCAGUAUUUAAAACCAAAAGGAUAUUCUGGAAAAUGGCCAACAAUUUUUUUAGAAAUAAAUAGCAUCCCAAGCAGCGUGCCUAAACAUUACAUUGCAUAUGGAAAUAAAAGAAUCAAACGUCUAAUGCCUUAUUUCUGAUUUCCUUUUUCAUUUUAAGUGGUGUAGAGACUCCAGCACUUCCAGGACAGUGGAGUCAGCAGUAAGCCCUGGGACAGGUGGCAAGGGUGGCUCCCUUGACCUUUGCGCACCUCCUCAGGAACCCUCUUUCCCGGGUGAGCUCCUCUCUUAAGAGACUGUCCUUGGGCCUCCUCUGGAAGCAGCACCCCCAGAAGACAGGGCUCCUCCUGCUUGCCUCAGGGCUGCCUGACUUGAAUGGCAUUGGACCUCGGGGAUUGCUGGUAGAGAAUAUGCUCUGGUCUCACCUGGUGGCGAGUUUUGCCAGCCAUGGCCAGGGUUUGGCUCCACUGGUGGCACAUGUGGCCUCCGUGGUAUGGACCUGGUGGCUUCUCUAUCCCACCGUGGCCUCCGUGGUAUGGACUUGGUGGCUUCUCCAUCCCACUCAAGGUAACAGUGUCUUGCUUCAUCCCACUGACUGCUAGGGAGAGAGCCUCUGGGACUUUUCUUUGGGGCAGCAUUUUGUUUUGUCUUUCGUAGCAGGGAAAGAAUAGGACAAUGGGGAGGACAGUUCUUUUGGAGGUUGGAGGGGCCAAGCCAAGGACAGGAACAAGUGUGCCCUCAUUUUGUUUCUACUUUAAUUUCUGUGUGUCAGCCAUACUGAAUUAUGAGACUAACAGAUACAUGUAUUCAAAAUAACAAAAAUAAAGCCUGAUUCUUUUGUUU
Molecule: RNA transcript, 5316 nt
Organism: Nomascus leucogenys (northern white-cheeked gibbon)
Lineage: Eukaryota; Metazoa; Chordata; Mammalia; Primates; Hylobatidae
Gene: PPP6R3
Gene name: protein phosphatase 6 regulatory subunit 3
Exons: 26
Source: RefSeq, a predicted model, not a curated record